This 724-nucleotide ribosomal RNA is filed under the name Clostridium carboxidivorans. RNAcentral describes it as "bacterial SSU rRNA". It matches the Rfam family "Bacterial small subunit ribosomal RNA", at positions 8 to 745 of the family's 1533-position model. The record is from RNAcentral. Lineage: Bacteria; Bacillati; Bacillota; Clostridia; Eubacteriales; Clostridiaceae.
GAGAGUUUGAUCCUGGCUCAGGACGAACGCUGGCGGCGUGCUUAACACAUGCAAGUCGAGCGAUGAAAUCCCUUCGGGGAUGGAUUAGCGGCGGACGGGUGAGUAACACGUGGGCAACCUGCCUCAAAGUGGGGGAUAGCCUUCCGAAAGGGAGAUUAAUACCGCAUAACAUUAGUUUUUCACAUGAAUUACUAAUUAAAGGAGUAAUCCGCUUUGAGAUGGGCCCGCGGCGCAUUAGCUAGUUGGUGAGGUAACGGCUCACCAAGGCCACGAUGCGUAGCCGACCUGAGAGGGUGAUCGGCCACAUUGGAACUGAGACACGGUCCAGACUCCUACGGGAGGCAGCAGUGGGGAAUAUUGCACAAUGGGCGAAAGCCUGAUGCAGCAACGCCGCGUGAGUGAUGAAGGCCUUCGGGUUGUAAAGCUCUGUCUUUGGGGACGAUAAUGACGGUACCCAAGGAGGAAGCCACGGCUAACUACGUGCCAGCAGCCGCGGUAAUACGUAGGUGGCGAGCGUUGUCCGGAUUUACUGGGCGUAAAGGAUGCGUAGGCGGAUGUUUAAGUCAGAUGUGAAAAUCCCGAGCUUAACUUGGGAACUGCAUUUGAAACUGGAUAUCUAGAGUGCGGGAGAGGAGAAUGGAAUUCCUAGUGUAGCGGUGAAAUGCGUAGAGAUUAGGAAGAACACCAGUGGGCAAAGGCGAUUCUCUGGGACCGUAACCUGACG